This 60-nucleotide transfer RNA is filed under the name Pseudoniphargus morenoi. RNAcentral's name for it is "tRNA-Phe". The record is from RNAcentral. Lineage: Eukaryota; Metazoa; Arthropoda; Malacostraca; Amphipoda; Allocrangonyctidae.
AUUCCGGUAGCUCAAGAAGAGCUUUACAUUGAAGCUGUAAGGGUAGUUUACUCCGUAAUA